RNAcentral lists this unclassified non-coding RNA (249 nucleotides) under uncultured fungus. RNAcentral's name for it is "partial contains 5.8S ribosomal RNA, internal transcribed spacer 2, and large subunit ribosomal RNA". The stretch from base 1 to 52 matches the Rfam family "5.8S ribosomal RNA", at positions 103 to 154 of the family's 154-position model. Lineage: Eukaryota; Fungi. RNAcentral also lists the same sequence under 1 other name. The record is from RNAcentral.
AACGCACAUUGCGCCCGCCAGUAUUCUGGCGGGCAUGCCUGUUCGAGCGUCAUUUCAACCAUCAAGCCCCCGGGCUUGUGUUGGGGACCUGCGGCUGCCCGCAGGCCCUGAAAACCAGUGGCGGGCUCGCUGUCACACCGAGCGUAGUAGCAUCAUCUCGCUCAGGGCGUGCUGCGGGUUCCGGCCGUUAAAAGCCUCCAAUAACCCAAGGUUGACCUCGGAUCAGGUAGGAAGACCCGCUGAACUUAA